UACGUAGGGGGCAAGCGUUGUCCGGAAUCAUUGGGCGUAAAGAGCGCGUAGGCGGCCCUGUAAGUCCGCUGUGAAAGUCAAGGGCUCAACCCUUGAAUGCCGGUGGAUACUGUCGGGCUCGAGUCCGGAAGAGGCGAGUGGAAUUCCUGGUGUAGCGGUGAAAUGCGCAGAUAUCAGGAGGAACACCGAUGGCGAAGGCAGCUCGCUGGGACGGUACUGACGCUGAGACGCGAAAGCGUGGGGAGCAAACAGG
This 253-nucleotide ribosomal RNA is filed under the name uncultured bacterium. RNAcentral's name for it is "partial 16S ribosomal RNA". It matches the Rfam family "Bacterial small subunit ribosomal RNA", at positions 524 to 776 of the family's 1533-position model. The record is from RNAcentral.